Molecule: ribosomal RNA, 371 nt
Filed under: uncultured bacterium
Lineage: Bacteria
Description: partial 16S ribosomal RNA
Rfam family: Bacterial small subunit ribosomal RNA
Source: RNAcentral
CCUACGGGAGGCAGCAGUGAGGAAUAUUGGUCAAUGGACGAGAGUCUGAACCAGCCAAGUAGCGUGAAGGAUGACUGCCCUAUGGGUUGUAAACUUCUUUUAUAUGGGAAUAAAAUGUUCCACGUGUGGGAUUUUGUAUGUACCAUAUGAAUAAGGAUCGGCUAACUCCCUGCCACCAGCCGCGGUAAUACGGAGGAUCCCCGCGGUAUCCGGCUUUAGUGGGUUCAAGGGGAGCGUAGGUGGAUUGUUAAGUCAGUUGGGAAAGUGUGCGGCUCAACCGUACAAUUGCCGUUGAAACUGGCAGUCGUGAGUACAGUAGAGGUGGGCGGAAUUCGUGGUGUAGCGGUGAAAUGCUUAGAUAUCACGAAGAA